RNAcentral lists this unclassified non-coding RNA (439 nucleotides) under Platycarpum schultesii. Its description in RNAcentral is "partial trnL-trnF intergenic spacer". The record is from RNAcentral. Lineage: Eukaryota; Viridiplantae; Streptophyta; Magnoliopsida; Gentianales; Rubiaceae.
UUUGGUUUCCNCCCUCUAUCCCCAAAAAGCGUAUUUGACUUCCCAACUAUUUAUCCUAUCCCUCUUUUCGUUAACGGUUCAAAAUCCCUUAUUCAUUCACUCUAUUCUCUUAGAAAUCGAUCUGGACAGAAAUGCCCUUUUCUUAUCACAAGUCUUGUCUUAUAUAUGAUAUACAUACAAAUGAACAUCUUUGAGCAAGAAAUCCCCAUUUGAAUGAUUUACAAUCGAUAUAACUACUCAUACUGAAACUUACAAAGUACUCUUUUUUAAGAUCCAAGAAAUUCCAGUACCUAGAUAAAACUUUGUAAUCCCCUUUCCUUCUUUUAAUUGACAUAGAUCCCAUUUUCUAAUAAAAUGAGGAUACUACGUUGGGACUGGUCGGGAUAGCUCAGCUGGUAGAGCAGAGGACUGAAAAUCCUCGUGUCACCGUCAAAUAAAA